CCUACGGGUGGCAGCAGUGAGGAAUAUUGGUCAAUGGGCUUACGCCUGAACCAGCCAAGUCGCGUGAGGGAAGACUGCCCUAUGGGUUGUAAACCUCUUUUGUCAGGGAGCAAUUGGCGCUACGUGUAGCGUUAUCGAGAGUACCUGAAGAAAAAGCAUCGGCUAACUCGGUGCCAGCAGCCGCGGUAAUACGGAGGAUGCGAGCGUUAUCCGGAUUGAUUGGGUUGAAGGGGUGCGUAGGCGGAAUGCCAAGUCAGCGGUAAAAUCGCGGGGCUCAACCUCGCUCCGCCGUUGAAACUGGCGUGCUUGAGUGGGCGAGAAGUAUGCGGAAUGCGUGGUGUAGCGGUGAAAUGCAUAGAUAUCACGCAGAACUCCGAUUGCGAAGGCAGCAUACCGGCGCCCAACUGACGCUGAGGCACGAAAGCGUGGGUAUCGAACAGGAUUAGAUACCCUAGUAGUC
Molecule: ribosomal RNA, 460 nt
Filed under: uncultured bacterium
Lineage: Bacteria
Description: partial 16S ribosomal RNA
Rfam family: Bacterial small subunit ribosomal RNA
Source: RNAcentral